RNAcentral lists this ribosomal RNA (1150 nucleotides) under Salmonella enterica. RNAcentral describes it as "partial 23S ribosomal RNA". It matches the Rfam family "Bacterial large subunit ribosomal RNA", at positions 1783 to 2925 of the family's 2925-position model. RNAcentral also lists the same sequence under 7 other names. The record is from RNAcentral. Lineage: Bacteria; Pseudomonadati; Pseudomonadota; Gammaproteobacteria; Enterobacterales; Enterobacteriaceae.
UACCAGCUGGCUGCAACUGUUUAUUAAAAACACAGCACUGUGCAAACACGAAAGUGGACGUAUACGGUGUGACGCCUGCCCGGUGCCGGAAGGUUAAUUGAUGGGGUCAGCGCAAGCGAAGCUCCUGAUCGAAGCCCCGGUAAACGGCGGCCGUAACUAUAACGGUCCUAAGGUAGCGAAAUUCCUUGUCGGGUAAGUUCCGACCUGCACGAAUGGCGUAAUGAUGGCCAGGCUGUCUCCACCCGAGACUCAGUGAAAUUGAACUCGCUGUGAAGAUGCAGUGUACCCGCGGCAAGACGGAAAGACCCCGUGAACCUUUACUAUAGCUUGACACUGAACAUUGAGCCUUGAUGUGUAGGAUAGGUGGGAGGCUUUGAAGUGUGGACGCCAGUCUGCAUGGAGCCGACCUUGAAAUACCACCCUUUAAUGUUUGAUGUUCUAACGUGGACCCGUGAUCCGGGUUGCGGACAGUGUCUGGUGGGUAGUUUGACUGGGGCGGUCUCCUCCUAAAGAGUAACGGAGGAGCACGAAGGUUGGCUAAUCCUGGUCGGACAUCAGGAGGUUAGUGCAAUGGCAUAAGCCAGCUUGACUGCGAGCGUGACGGCGCGAGCAGGUGCGAAAGCAGGUCAUAGUGAUCCGGUGGUUCUGAAUGGAAGGGCCAUCGCUCAACGGAUAAAAGGUACUCCGGGGAUAACAGGCUGAUACCGCCCAAGAGUUCAUAUCGACGGCGGUGUUUGGCACCUCGAUGUCGGCUCAUCACAUCCUGGGGCUGAAGUAGGUCCCAAGGGUAUGGCUGUUCGCCAUUUAAAGUGGUACGCGAGCUGGGUUUAGAACGUCGUGAGACAGUUCGGUCCCUAUCUGCCGUGGGCGCUGGAGAACUGAGGGGGGCUGCUCCUAGUACGAGAGGACCGGAGUGGACGCAUCACUGGUGUUCGGGUUGUCAUGCCAAUGGCACUGCCCGGUAGCUAAAUGCGGAAGAGAUAAGUGCUGAAAGCAUCUAAGCACGAAACUUGCCCCGAGAUGAGUUCUCCCUGAGACUUUAGGUCUCCUGAAGGAACGUUGAAGACGACGACGUUGAUAGGCCGGGUGUGUAAGCGCAGCGAUGCGUUGAGCUAACCGGUACUAAUGAACCGUGAGGCUUAACCUUACA